Molecule: transfer RNA, 73 nt
Filed under: Pseudopinnixa carinata
Lineage: Eukaryota; Metazoa; Arthropoda; Malacostraca; Decapoda; Varunidae
Description: tRNA-Leu
Source: RNAcentral
UUUAGGAUCCUGUUAGAUAGAGAAAUUCUAUAAAUAGUUAAAUAGUUGGGAAUCUAACUGUUUUGUGACUUUA